This 403-nucleotide ribosomal RNA is filed under the name uncultured bacterium. RNAcentral's name for it is "partial 16S ribosomal RNA". It matches the Rfam family "Bacterial small subunit ribosomal RNA", at positions 30 to 526 of the family's 1533-position model. The record is from RNAcentral.
AUUGAACGCUGGCGGCAGGCCUAACACAUGCAAGUCGAGCGAGCGGCGGACGGGUGAGUAAUGUAUGGGGACUGCCCGAUAGAGGGGGAUAACUACUGGAAACGGUGGCUAAUACCGCAUACUAUCGGAUAACCCAUAUGGGAUUAGCUAGUAGGGAAGGUAAUGGCUUACCUAGGCGACGAUCCCUAGCUGGUCUGAGAGGAUUAUCAGCCACAGUGGGGCUGAGACACGGCCCAGACGCCUACGGAGGCAGCAGUGGGGAAUAUUGCACAAUGGGCGCAGGCCUGAUGCGUCCAUGCCGCGUGUAUGAAGAAGGCACUAGGGUUGUAAAGUACUUUCAGUCGAGAGGCGUUACCGACAGAAGAAGCACCGGCUAACUCCGUGCCAGCAGCCGCGGUAAUUC